GUGUCAGCAGCCGCGGUAAAACCAGCUCUUCAAGUGGUCGGGACUCUUAUUGGGCUUAAAGCGUCCGUAGCCGGUUUGGUAAGUUCCUGGUUAAAUCUAAUAGCUUAACUAUUAGUUAGCUAGGAAUACUGCCUUACUAGAGGGUGGGAAAGGUCUGAGGUACUCCAGGGGUAGCGGUGAAAUGCGAUGAUCCUUGGGGGACCACCAGUGGCGAAAGCGUCAGACUGGAACACGCCUGACGGUGAGGGACGAAAGCCAGGGGAGCGAACGGGAUUAGAUACCCCGGUAGUCCUGGCCGUAAACGAUGCGCGCUAGGUGUUGGUAUGGCUUUGAGCCAUAUCAGUGCCGUAGGGAAACUGUUAAGCGCGCCGCCUGGGAAGUACGCUCGCAAGAGUGAAACUCAAAUGAAUUGACGGGG
Molecule: ribosomal RNA, 418 nt
Filed under: uncultured prokaryote
Description: bacterial SSU rRNA
Rfam family: Archaeal small subunit ribosomal RNA
Source: RNAcentral